UACGUAGGUGGCAAGCGCUGUCCGGAUUUAUUGGGCGUAAAGCGAGCGCAGGCGGUUCCUUAAGUCUGAUGUGAAAGCCCACGGCUCAACCGUGGAAGGUCAUUGGAAACUGGGGAACUUGAGUGCAGAAGAGGAGAGUGGAAUUCCAUGUGUAGCGGUGAAAUGCGUAGAUAUAUGGAGGAACACCAGUGGCGAAGGCGACUCUCUGGUCUGUAACUGACGCUGAGGCUCGAAAGCGUGGGGAGCAAACAGGAUUA
This 257-nucleotide ribosomal RNA is filed under the name uncultured prokaryote. RNAcentral describes it as "partial 16S ribosomal RNA". It matches the Rfam family "Bacterial small subunit ribosomal RNA", at positions 524 to 780 of the family's 1533-position model. The record is from RNAcentral.